AACGAACGCUGGCGGCAUGCCUAACACAUGCAAGUCGAACGAGACCUUCGGGCCUAGUGGCGCACGGGUGCGUAACGCGUGGGAACCUGCCCUUAGGUUCGGAAUAACUCCCCGAAAGGGGUGCUAAUACCGGAUAAUGUCUUCGGACCAAAGAUUUAUCGCCUUUGGAUGGGCCCGCGUUGGAUUAGCUAGUUGGUAGGGUAAAAGCCUACCAAGGCGACGAUCCAUAGCUGGUCUGAGAGGAUGAUCAGCCACACUGGGACUGAGACACGGCCCAGACUCCUACGGGAGGCAGCAGUGGGGAGUAUUGGACAAUGGGCGAAAGCCUGAUCCAGCAAUGCCGCGUGAGUGAUGAAGGCCUUAGGGUUGUAAAGCUCUUUUACCCGGGAUGAUAAUGACAGUACCGGGAGAAUAAGCUCCGGCUAACUCCGUG
RNAcentral lists this ribosomal RNA (433 nucleotides) under uncultured bacterium. RNAcentral describes it as "partial 16S ribosomal RNA". It matches the Rfam family "Bacterial small subunit ribosomal RNA", at positions 29 to 507 of the family's 1533-position model. The record is from RNAcentral.